RNAcentral lists this ribosomal RNA (265 nucleotides) under Pseudomonas sp. RNAcentral describes it as "partial 16S ribosomal RNA". It matches the Rfam family "Bacterial small subunit ribosomal RNA", at positions 518 to 782 of the family's 1533-position model. Lineage: Bacteria; Pseudomonadati; Pseudomonadota; Gammaproteobacteria; Pseudomonadales; Pseudomonadaceae. The record is from RNAcentral.
CGGUAAUACAGAGGGUGCAAGCGUUAAUCGGAAUUACUGGGCGUAAAGCGCGCGUAGGUGGUUUGUUAAGUUGAAUGUGAAAGCCCCGGGCUCAACCUGGGAACUGCAUCCAAAACUGGCAAGCUAGAGUACGGUAGAGGGUGGUGGAAUUUCCUGUGUAGCGGUGAAAUGCGUAGAUAUAGGAAGGAACACCAGUGGCGAAGGCGACCACCUGGACUGAUACUGACACUGAGGUGCGAAAGCGUGGGGAGCAAACAGGAUUAGA